Molecule: RNA transcript, 2720 nt
Organism: Zea mays
Lineage: Eukaryota; Viridiplantae; Streptophyta; Magnoliopsida; Poales; Poaceae
Gene name: protein NRT1/ PTR FAMILY 8.3
Exons: 4
Source: RefSeq, a predicted model, not a curated record
GGCAGCAAAGUCAUACAAAACUCAAAACGAUAAGCUCGUCGGUUCGCCGUCUCUGCUUGGCGAAUCAUAUUAGUUGGACCAACAUCAAUUGCCGGCAAUAAAAAAAACAUCAAUUGCCGAAGAAGCAAUCACUGAUCACUCUUCAAGGUUCGAAGCUUUCCCUUACUUCUGGAGAGAAAAGCCUCCACGGACCACGGCUUCAGAAGCUGCUUUCAUGGAGUCGUCGCUGGUGGAGGAGCGGCGGCAAAACCUGCUGGUGCGCGCGACGGAGCCUGAGGAUCUUGCCAGGUACACAGGUGAUGGGUCAGUUGACUUUAGAGGUUUUCCUAUUUUAAAGCAUAACACAGGGAACUGGAGAGCAUGUUCAUUGAUUCUUGGAACUGAAGUUUGUGAACGUUUGGCCUACUAUGGAAUCUCAAAAAGUUUGGUCACUUACCUUUCAACAAGACUACAUGAAGGAAACGUUUCUGCUGCCAGGAACUUCACAACCUGGCAAGGAACUUGUUAUCUUACACCACUUAUUGGAGCAACCUUAGCAGAUUCGUACUGGGGAAAGUACAGGACUAUUGCUGUUUUCUCCACUAUUUACUUUCUUGUAAGACACGAAUGUGCAUUUACCUCAAGAUACCUGUAGUUGUGCCUUUGUGUAUUAAUUUUUAGGGAAGUUAAUGUAUUAAGUGCCCUAAAAUUGUAGUAUGUUGUUUUGCAUUGGUAUUUACCUAUUGGUUGUCAAUUAAAGAAAGAUUGGAUAAAUGUUCACAUAUAGCUUUUCUGCUAUGACAUAAGCAACUUCAUAAUUGUUGUGAGCAUUUACUGGCAUGAUAGUUCAUUGAAAACAUGCAUGAUGCGUCAAUUGCAGACCUACUUGUGUUUCUCUACCUGCCAAUUAUGAAUCUUUUAUCCUUCUUAAGCAAUCAUUCCUGCAGAUAUUCUGUGCCAAGUGCUAAUGACUUUUUAAUGUGCAUUCAAUGAAGGGGAUGUCGGCAUUGACACUUUCAGCAUCAGUUCCUUCUUUCCAGCCCCCUCAAUGUGUUGGGUCUAUUUGUCCACAACCGACCUUAUCACAGUAUCUUUUAUACUUUGUUGGAUUAUACAUGAUUGCUCUGGGAGCUGGUGGUAUAAAGCCGUGUGUUUCAUCCUUUGGGGCUGACCAAUUUGAUGAUACUGAUCCAGUUGAGAAAGCAAAGAAAGGAGCUUUCUUCAAUUGGUUUUAUUUCUGCAUAAAUAUUGGUUCUUUGAUCUCUGGCACAGUUCUUAUUUGGGUACAAGAGAAUUGUGGAUACAGCAUUGGCUUUGGGAUCCCUACUUUUUUCAUUGCCUUGGCUAUUGGAAGCUUUUUUAUAGGUUCAGAUAUAUAUAGGUUUCAGAUACCGGGAGGAAGCCCACUUACAAGAGCAUGCCAGGUAGUUGUGGCAGCCACUCACAAGCGAAAAACAGAUUUGCCGGUUGACAGUUCUCUUCUCUAUGAGCUAGAUGGUAAGACUUCAGCUAUUGAGGGGAGUCGUAAGCUGGAGCACAGUAGUGAAUUCAGGUAUUUUUCUUGGUUAUCAGUGACAAUUAUUUUCCCUGUAAGAUAUAUCCUUUUACUCAACAAAGGAGAAAGGCAUUGAGAAGUUGUGGUUUAGGUUACAUGUUUGGGGAAAACAAAUAUUCAAAAAUAAAAGUUUACUGAAAUGUAUCAAAUACAGAUAUUCAUUUAUACUGCACUUUUGUUCUGACAUUGCAUGCUUUUAAGCUUGUGUCUUGGAACUUCCUGGACACAGCAACCUUUUUUCAGAACUAUGAAAGUUUCCUUGACAAAGCGGCAGUCAUUUUGUGGAAUGAAUGUGAUGGUCCUCGCAAUUCAUGGAGACUUUGCACAGUCACACAAGUUGAAGAGCUUAAAAUACUACUGAGGAUGUUUCCAAUCUGGGCAACAGGAAUUGUGUUCUUCACCGUAUGUGCUCAAAACUCAUCGAUGUUCAUAGAACAGGGGAUGACCCUCGAUAACCAAAUUGGUCCAUUCAAGAUUCCAGCAGCAACUCUGUCGUCCCUAGAUGUUAUCAGUGUUGUCGUUUGGGUUCCAAUUUAUGAGAGGUUAGUUGUGCCCAUAGCCAGGAGAUUCAGUGGGAAAGAGAGAGGUUUCUCAGAACUUCAACGGAUGGGGAUCGGUCUAUUUGUGUCUACAGUCGCAGUGGCAGUUGCAGCGCUAGUCGAGAUCAAUCGUCUACAGGUGGCAGUGGCAGAGGACCUGGUUCAUCAGAAGGUACCUGUUCCUAUGAGCAUCCUUUGGCAAGCGCCUCAGUAUUUGCUGGUCGGUGUGGGCGAGGUGUUCACAUCAAUUGGUCAAGCUGAGUUUUUCUACAAUCAGUCACCAGAUGCCAUGAGAAGCUUAUGCUCAGCUUUCGCUCUCGUUACCGUGUCACUUGGAAGUUAUCUCAGCUCAUUCAUCUUAAGCCUGGUGUCAUAUUUCACAACUCGGAAUGGGCAAUUGGGGUGGAUCCCUGAUAACUUGAACGAAGGCCAUCUUGACCGCUUUUUCUGGCUGAUAGCCGGUCUCAGCUCACUAAAUUUCCUUGUUUUUAUAUAUUACGCUCAACAAUACAAGUGCAAGAUAGCUUCUGUUGCUUAAAGUUCCUUCUCCACUUUGCAAUUUACUUGUACAGCAAAGCUCAAUGUACAAUUUGUUUAUGCUGAAAUACUACAGUGCGUACAUAAUCUCAUGUGUCGUGUACUGUGUA